RNAcentral lists this ribosomal RNA (418 nucleotides) under Discurria insessa. RNAcentral describes it as "partial 12S ribosomal RNA". It matches the Rfam family "Bacterial small subunit ribosomal RNA", at positions 874 to 1384 of the family's 1533-position model. The record is from RNAcentral. Lineage: Eukaryota; Metazoa; Mollusca; Gastropoda; Acmaeidae.
UCCUGAACUAAAAUCCGUCAUACUGCCUGGGAACUACGGGGAACGCUCUAAAACUCGAGGGACUUGGCGGUGCACUAAUCCCCCCAGGGGAACCUGGCCCUUAAUUCGAUGAUCCACGAACCUCUUACCUUUUCUAGUCUUGUUUGUCUUUGAAAAAAGCAAGUAAAAACCAGCUCGCAUACCGCCGUUUCGUAGCCUGUAUCGUGAGAGGAUAUAAACAGGCGCCCCAGCGGCUCUUGUAAUAAUAAAUAAACGGGAGCUUCUCUAAUAAUUCAGGUAAACGUGUGGCCCAUGAAAAGGGGAAGCUGGGUUACAAUUGGGGUUUGUAAUAGCGUGACUGCCUUAAGGGCAAGGCAAAAGAGGACUUGGAAGUAAUAGCCUUGGACAAUGAGGUCGUGAAUACUGCUCUAGUGUGUGU